AGGAAUAUAUAAAGAAAGUCCAAAAAAUUUUAAGACGCCACAGGGUUAAUAUAGAGAUUUCGUCCACCGAAUUUUUGGAAACCCUGAAUUUAUGUUGCGGCGUUUCAUCUUUCAUCGGCGGCAUCGGCGUAUAUCUUCCUCUCAGAACCCUACAACUGCAAAACUGAAACAAGUGAGAAAUCAAUCGCCACUCCAUUUGAUCUAAUCCAACCGAAGAAUACGGACAGUGGGGAGCAGACACCAGCUUUGGAUUCAAAUCAAUAAGCAUAAUCUGAACUUAGUCGUGUUUUGUUUCUCCUUUAUCAUCUUCUAUUAAUGGUCAUUUGUUUCGCCGAUCAUGGAGCGGUGAGGGUUUAAUCGGAGCACCAAAGUCCGUCGGGUCAAGGAUUUCUACCAUGAUAUGACGAAAGGUCAGUGAUGAUGUUGUUUGGGGCGAUGGCAGUGGUAGGUAGUGGAAAAAUCGAAGCCUCAACAGUGGCGGCUUUAGGGUUCCUUCAUGAGUCAGUCGGGUAUUGUCUCUUCUCUCUUGAAUUUUCAUUCGUAGCCUUCAUCCAGUUUCUGUCCGUCGAUCAGGUACCCCUACAAAAUCAUCUCGAAGCAUUUUUAUUCUAUGUGUGUUUGUGAUUUUGAGUUUAACCUAGAUUUUACAGAGAUGGGGAAGAAAGCUUCUGAUUUUGAGGGCUUUGGGUGUAUUUGCAUUUGUUGAUUUUGCGUGCAGUGGUCAAUUAGACUUACAUUGACAUUCAGGCUGGUCGAUUUCCACCCAAAUUGCCAUCUUGUGUAUUAGCAGAAAGCCACUGUUUGUAAACUCGAUUAUCUUUCUCGUAUCUGUGUUCUCUCGUUAUUUUGAUCUCUUUAUUUGAUCUUCUAUUGUUUUGGACUGCCAAAUUAUUUUGUAGAUUAUGAACCAUUGCUUAUAUUUCAGGUACAGGGGACCAUAGUUUUGUGCAAAGGUUGCGUCUUGGUGGGCACUUUUGAAGGAAAAUAUAGCAACCAUGGAGCCGAGGACAUUUCGACUAUUAAGACAUUACUAGAGCAUAAUGCUGAUUGUAGUCCCGAAGAUAAGGUUUUUAAUCAUUCUUUUUAAAAUUUGUUGUCAUGUUAAUAAAGGCUGGCAUGAUUAUAAUUUCUGUUGCUUUUGAAAGAAGACAUGCCCCCAUGGGAAAUCAAAGGUUACUGUCUUUCUUAAACGAUGUUUUUGUUCAAGUCGUUGUUGAUUCUUUUUGUUUUUUUUUUUACAAAUGUAAAUAGUGAAAUUUGAUUGUAGCUGCGUUGUUUUUGAGAUAAUUUUGUUCGGUUCGAAACGGCUCGCGUCGAAACGUUUCUCGUCUGGAAGAUUUGGCGAUUCAAGGUGGAAGUUGAGGGACUUUUUUUUCCAAAUGUGAUGGCGUUCCCUUGAUUACUGAAAAGGAACUGGUGGAAACCUUUAUGAAUCAGUGAUACACUUUGUGUAAACUUAGUGCAUUAAAUAUCAAACCAUACACAGAAAAAGAAACAUAGCUUGAACUAAUAGAUAUGCAACCAUGGCUUCAUGUAUCUCAUAGCUAUAGGCGUAAUUAAUCUCUGACACGACUAUAGAGGUUUAAAUGCAACUGCAGCUGAUAUUAAACAAGGGUUUAAAAGAGCCUUUUCUGCUCCAUGGCCCGAAAAACUACGUUACCAGGGAGAUGGAAGACCAUUCUGGAGGCUUGUUGUUUCUGAAGCUACUGGUAGUGCUAAUAACGAUUACUUUGAAGAAGUUUAUGAGGUUGAAAAGUGAUAAUCAUGUUAGGUAAGUCUGAUGCGUACCAAGUAUAUGAUGGAAUGCCUAUGGUGCUGGUUCCGCCUCUUGCUGCUCGAACCAGGUUUCGGUUUUGACUUAUCAUAAGGAUGUGAUGCUGGGAAGCACCAACAAGCUUUCAACCUCACCGGAGGAUUCGCUCCGUCGAAGUGCUUUGAUGACAAUAGUCCUAUAAUGGCAUGGGUAUUCCACGACCCAAACUAAAUGAUGUUGCAAAGGGACCUGGAGACAAAAGAAGCCUGGUAAACGCAUGUCAAAAUGAUAUGUGCCAUGUUCUAAAAGCCAUGCACAUCACGUUCCCAUUUGCCAAUGGCUGUUAUUUUUCUUUUGCAUGAUUAGAUAGUGCCAUAGUCGGUUAGUGGUGAUGGUUUAUCUUAGUUGCAAGUUAGCCAUUUUUAUUAAUUUCGUAUUUCUUCAGUAAGGCUAUAUAUGAACCAUAUGUAUUUAGAUCAAGGGAAUGAAGAAAUGAAUUAUUCAAAAUCUGGUUUCUCUUAA
This is an RNA transcript of Helianthus annuus (common sunflower), 2275 nucleotides long. RefSeq lists it as uncharacterized. The transcript is spliced from 7 exons. The record is from RefSeq and is a predicted model, not a curated record. Lineage: Eukaryota; Viridiplantae; Streptophyta; Magnoliopsida; Asterales; Asteraceae.